Molecule: long non-coding RNA, 682 nt
Filed under: Mustela putorius furo (domestic ferret)
Lineage: Eukaryota; Metazoa; Chordata; Mammalia; Carnivora; Mustelidae
Description: lncRNA (ENSMPUG00000026133.1)
Source: RNAcentral
CCUGGAGAGCUUCAUUUCACAAACAAAUAUUGGUCAUGGGCCUGCAGGGCCCGGGUCAAGGGCAGGACGUGGCUUGUGCCCUCACGUGUUCCUGGUCAGGUGGGCGGUGGAUUGCAACAUGAGAGCCAUCCCCAGCGUAAGGUGCCCUCCCAGAGUCCUGGGUGAGCAGAGGCUAGUGCUCCCUUCUGGGACGUGCUGCCACUGAGGAAGGAAGACCAGGGGAAGCUCCGCGGUCCUCAAUCCAUCCACCUCUUAGGUGUGCUGACCUGUGCUGGGUGCUUGGGGGAGGGGGGAUGCUUCGCCUCCUGAUAACGGAGGACCAAGGAUAAAUGGUCAGGAGCUCUGCACAGCGGGGACCAUGACCUCCAUUUUACAGGCUCCUCUGCUCUGGACGCCAGCUCCCGUGGAAAGCCUGCUGCGAGCCAGGUGCCCGCUCCCCGCGCACUGUCCCCAUUCAACCUCCCAACAACCCAGCGAGGCGCGCAUGGCUCACGACGCUCCCUAUGGGGUGAGGACGCGAGGUGGGGUGGGCAGAUGGUGUGCCCAAAGGCAUAUGGCUAGGGUUCGAGGGCACGUUGACACCUGAAGCGGGACCUCUGGAGCCCAGGGGUCCCUGCCAGGGUACGGUGGGCAUUGCUGGGUCACUGCCAGGGAAGUCCUGCCCUCUCCCUUGGCCCAAGAC